CUUGAUCAUCUCUAUCCAAAACAGGGGAUCUCUGCUGUAACGUGACAUUUUCUAACGCUCCCAUAGGCUUUCAGAAGGCACCAGAACGUUGAAUGAUGACUUUGCAGGCCAUGGUUGAAAAACAGUAGCACAUUUGGUAAGUGGUCGAUCUGAGAACAAUGAGACUGGUGCGCGCGUGCACGAGACGACUCCAUGUUUUCAUUUUCAGUCUUUGAACGAAAACAACGACUCUCGGAAUAUUAUCGCUUUUUUGCGAGAAAAAUUACAUAAAAUUGAUUUUAAACAGAGUUUGACAUGCUUCUAAGUACGGUAAUGGAAUAUUUUGAAAAUUUUUGUCACGAAAUGCGCCGGGCACGUCACCCUUCGUUACCCUUCGGAUAGUGUCUUGAACGCACAACAAAACGCCGCAAUUUGGAUAUAACUAUGGAUUAUUUGGAACCAAACCAACAUUUGUUAUUGAAGUAGAAGUCCUGGGAGUGCAUUCUGACGAAGAAGAGCAAAGAUUCACAAGUUGACAUCGCUUUAAGACUUCUGCCAGCCAUCCUCCCAACACCAGUCUACAAGAUUGUCAGGAAGACAUUCCGACCCAGCUUCAAAGAGACCAGAAAGUCCUUCAUAUACUUGCAGCCUAUUGGAAUGUCUGCAGUGCAAGGUGUUCUACAGUGGAUGGACAAAGAGACGCCUUCAAGACCGCUUAGCAGAACACAAGUAUGCCAUACGGGUAGGCAAUGAAGACUACCCGUAUGGCAAGGCACUACAAGUCCUUAAACAUUUACAUUUACAUUUACGUCAUUUAGCAGACGCUCUUAUCCAGAGCGACUUACAAAUUGGUGCAUUCACCUUAUGAUAUCCAGUGGAACAACCACUUUACAAUAG
This 876-nucleotide long non-coding RNA is filed under the name Salmo salar (Atlantic salmon). RNAcentral describes it as "lncRNA (ENSSSAG00000112545.1, ENSSSAG00075002476.1)". Lineage: Eukaryota; Metazoa; Chordata; Actinopteri; Salmoniformes; Salmonidae. The record is from RNAcentral.